AUGCACGCUCUUUUUGCAGACGAGCAGAAACAUUGUCUCUUUGCUGCAGCAUUAAGCUGUGUUGAUGUCUCUUCCAAGACGGCUGUGUUUUGAGUGAGAAAGAUGUUUUCCUCAUUUCACGGUGACCAACAACGGUCAUACAUCUGCUGAUCAAGUAACUACAUGGCCUUGAGGUUGAAUUUGAGUUAUUCGAGGUCAAAGGUGAACCUGAAUGGAAGCUGUGCAGGGUUCGAUACGAAAGGCACCCCAGACAAGACUAAGUCCUCGCGCUUGGCGCGCGCGCCCAGCUCGUGAAGCUAGGCAUAUUACCACAGUAGUAGUUAGGCUAGAACGAGGAGAAGAUCUUCGAAUGCUAGAGGCGGACGUAGCUAUGCAAGAACAAGGACUAAAGAAGAAACCAAGACUGAAUUCGAGCGAACAAAAGACGUUCGUUGUA
Long non-coding RNA from Mizuhopecten yessoensis (Yesso scallop), 436 nucleotides. RefSeq lists it as uncharacterized. Lineage: Eukaryota; Metazoa; Mollusca; Bivalvia; Pectinida; Pectinidae. The transcript has 5 exons. The record is from RefSeq and is a predicted model, not a curated record.